CGUCACUUUUUUGCCCAAAUUCUUGAAGUUUCGGCCACUACCACCCCACAAUACCUACAUCAAUGGAUAGAGCUCUUCAAGACCUACCUAUUAAUGUCAAUUCUAUCCCAAAAUCCGGCUAUCAAAAUAUGGCCAAAUUCCGUCAACCUCCCCGAACACUCUCUUUUGACAUACCACCAUUUUUUCGGCCACUUGAAUUGUAAAAUGGUAAUUUUCGGACCAUGUAAACUCAUAAAAUCGAGUUGGAAUGAAAGAUUAAUGAUGCUGGGAAAUAUUAGUAGCUUCAUCCUUCUAUUGUAAUUCAUUUUUAUAUGUUCUUGAAUGUUUGAUAAUGUUAUAACGAUAUGUUAGUUAAUUAAAUUGUGUUAAGCAUCUUUAA
This is a non-coding RNA of Nicotiana tabacum (common tobacco), 379 nucleotides long. Lineage: Eukaryota; Viridiplantae; Streptophyta; Magnoliopsida; Solanales; Solanaceae. The record is from RefSeq and is a predicted model, not a curated record.